Molecule: non-coding RNA, 72 nt
Organism: Pristionchus pacificus
Lineage: Eukaryota; Metazoa; Nematoda; Chromadorea; Rhabditida; Neodiplogasteridae
Source: Rfam
GGGGGUAUAGCACAGUGGUAGAGCACCCGCAUACGUAUCGGCAGGUCGGGGGUUCGACUCCCUCUGCCUCCA